AUUUAGAAACUGCCACACAUACAAAUAUAACUUUCCUUUUGAAAUACUCUAUCAAUGCCUCCACAAAUGCCUCUUUUGUGGAUUAUACAUCUGCACAUUUUAUAUAAAUACUUUUAAUAUUAAUGCGGAAAAUAUAUAAUUACUUUGAUAAUGAAAAGGGUAAACUAAAACUGAACAUAAACUAACUAAACUAACACUACAGGACUAAUAUUUUUAUAUUAGUCAAAAAAUGCGUUCUUUCUCAUUAUAUUUGCAUGGACCGUAAAUGAAUAUAAUACACAAAACUUGGCGCAAAAUAGCACAAAACUCUAAUGUCACAUUUGGAAGUAACUCGAAUAUUAAUUCCAAAUGUGUGAAGCACACUUAUGUAGAUACAUAAAAAAUGGAACGAAUAAGGCGGCUUAAAUGGUAACAUAAUUACCUGAACUACAUAUAUAUUGUUAACAUAAAAACAAUAUUACGGCGAAAACUAACACAUUUAAUUAAUAAAAAAAAAACAUAAAAAUGUAACUAUUUGGCAACGUUUGUAUUGCACAUUCACAACACAUCUUUGACACUAGCAUGAACUAACUAAGCGUACAACUUUUUACACUUUGAUGAUAGUUUUAGCACAAAACUCUACACCAGCAUUGGCACAUUUGGAAUUUAUCGAUCAAUAAAUUCCAAAUGUGGGAUGCUGAAACUAUACACCUAUAUGCGCUGAUAAUUUUUACUUGCUUUAUAAUAAUAAUAACACUGGCUGAUGAUAAUAAUAAUAUAUAUGAUAUAACUAUAUGGAGUUACUUUCUAGCGUGGUAACUUGAACUUUAUUUGGAACCGAACUACCUGAUACGAGGCAUUGAUCAGUAUUUCAAAAGGAAACGACAUACUAUAUAGUAUACAUAUAUAAUACACUGCCAACAGCAAAUUGAGGAUCUGAGGCGCGGCGGACAUCUCAAUUUGCAUUUUUCGAAUAAUAAUAUCAACAACUAAGACUGACUGCUAACCCCUAAUACUAACUCAACAGACUAGCCUAUGUAUACCGAUGUCUAUGUCUGUCCAUGUAGUAAUAAAGAGCCAAUAAAUGGCUAUAAAAUGCAA
Drosophila bipectinata is the source of this 1080-nucleotide non-coding RNA. Lineage: Eukaryota; Metazoa; Arthropoda; Insecta; Diptera; Drosophilidae. The record is from RefSeq and is a predicted model, not a curated record.